RNAcentral lists this long non-coding RNA (905 nucleotides) under Phasianus colchicus (ring-necked pheasant). Its description in RNAcentral is "lncRNA (ENSPCLG00000021042.1)". Lineage: Eukaryota; Metazoa; Chordata; Aves; Galliformes; Phasianidae. The record is from RNAcentral.
GAAACUCCAUCAGAGCCUGAACCUCCAGAAUUUGUGAUGGAGUAACAACACAGAAGGAUGUAGUCAACAUCUUUCACACAAGAAGUCCAAGACCUACUAUGGUGAUGAUAAUCUCUACUACUGGUACCUCAGAGUGCCAGAGUCAAUGGCAGAAGCUUCAUUCAUGAGGACUACUGGGAAGAAGAUGUGAGCAACCAGACAUAAGGACUCUUCUGCUUCUGCCUUCCUCUGCAGCCACAUUUCAUUGGGUGAUUCCUGGCUCCUGUCCCACCAUGUGGCUCCCAUCCCAGCCUGUCCCCUCUUCUGCCCAGCAAAAGGUCUCCUGCUGAAAAGAGACAGACAAGAAGAGCUUGUUUUCAUCUGCACCACAGUACUCCUUUUUCGGCUAUGAGAUGCUCAAAACACCUGCUAACACUGCAGCAAGACUGCCACAGUGUCACUCUGCUAAGUGCUCAUUCUGGGUUCGUCCACACAAUCAGUGCACAGUCCGUGCUCAGCAAAGGCAGUUCCUAAAGCAAGCAGUCCCUUGGCAGCUCUCAGUGGAAUGGCCCACCAGAUACUUUGCAUUUGUGUUCCAAUCUGCACCAAAGCUUGAGGCUGUGGAUCAGCCAGAACGAAGGAAGGAAGAACAUGAACAAAGAGGACAGAGCAGAGCUCUUGGCAAGCUGUUGUGGAUUAAAAAGAAGAUGGUGAGAUGGUCAUUUUGUCAUCCUGUGCCACCGUUGUCUCUAUUUGGGUCAGCCGUGCUUCCGUCCAUUGUAGGGAUGAAGAUUGGGAUGAUGGAAGAAUCCAGCAACGGCUGCAGCAAUGAGCACGACUGCCUGGAGCCCUGCAAUCGUGUGCUGAGCCUUCACUUUGUUCAACAGCUCUACGUGGUACAUGAUUCUGAUGAACUUUUGCUGUGA